CAGACUUCCUGAUAAUGAAGGUCUGACAUAUGAAGAGGGGAAAAGGAUCAUUUUAGAUGGACAAACCUUGAUGAAUUCAGACGAUUCCAAAAGAAGAGCAGAUUGCUACCCAUAAAACUAAACAGCAUCAAUGUGGAAUUACUGGAAGAAUCCAAAAGUCUUUGCAGAAAUGGCUAUUUAGUGGCAUAACAUCAACAGUAAGAAAAACACUGGAUACACAGACUUCCACCUUAUCCUUAUGGGCAUGUCCAAGCAAGUCUGAACUGAUGACAGACGAUGUGCAGCAAAGCAGAAUGAGCCCCAAGGCAUAGCUGAGGCUCCAGACAUCUAAGAGGACCCAGUGAGUUCAGAAAAUUCACCCAGUUUAACAUAUCUGACUGUAAAAGCAUGAGUGAUCUUUCCAAUUACAGCUUCUUGUUGAUUGCUAAGUCAUGUCCGACUCUUUGCAC
Molecule: long non-coding RNA, 449 nt
Organism: Cervus elaphus (red deer)
Lineage: Eukaryota; Metazoa; Chordata; Mammalia; Artiodactyla; Cervidae
Exons: 4
Source: RefSeq, a predicted model, not a curated record